RNAcentral lists this ribosomal RNA (301 nucleotides) under uncultured bacterium. Its description in RNAcentral is "partial 16S ribosomal RNA". It matches the Rfam family "Bacterial small subunit ribosomal RNA", at positions 509 to 807 of the family's 1533-position model. The record is from RNAcentral.
CAGCCGCCGCGGUAAUACAGAGGGUGCGAGCGUUAAUCGGAUUUACUGGGCGUAAAGCGUGCGUAGGCGGCUUUUUAAGUCGGAUGUGAAAUCCCUGAGCUUAACUUAGGAAUUGCAUUCGAUACUGGGAAGCUAGAGUAUGGGAGAGGAUGGUAGAAUUCAAGGUGUAGCGGUGAAAUGCGUAGAGAUCUGGAGGAAUACCGAUGGCGAAGGCAGCCAUCUGGCCUAAUACUGACGCUGAGGUACGAAAGCAUGGGGAGAAAACAGGAUUAGAUACCCCAGUAGUCCCUGUCUCUUAUAC